UACGUAGGUGGCAAGCGUUAUCCGGAUUUACUGGGUGUAAAGGGCGUGUAGGCGAGGACGCAAGUCAGAUGUGAAAACCACGGGCUCAACCUGUGGCCUGCAUUUGAAACUGUGUUUCUUGAGUACUGGAGAGGCAGACGGAAUUCCUAGUGUAGCGGUGAAAUGCGUAGAUAUUAGGAGGAACACCAGUGGCGAAGGCGGUCUGCUGGACAGCAACUGACGCUGAGGCGCGAAAGCGUGGGGAGCAAACAGG
RNAcentral lists this ribosomal RNA (253 nucleotides) under uncultured bacterium. RNAcentral's name for it is "partial 16S ribosomal RNA". It matches the Rfam family "Bacterial small subunit ribosomal RNA", at positions 524 to 776 of the family's 1533-position model. The record is from RNAcentral.